UACGGGAGGCAGCAGUGGGGAAUAUUGCACAAUGGGCGCAAGCCUGAUGCAGCCAUGCCGCGUGUAUGAAAAAGGCCUUCGGGUUGUAAAGUACUUUCAGUCGUGAGGAAGGUGUUAAGGUUAAUAACCUUAGCAAUUGACGUUAGCGACAGAAGAAGCACCGGCUAACUCCGUGUCAGCAGCCGCGGUAAUACGGAGGGUGCGAGCGUUAAUCGGAAUUACUGGGCGUAAAGGGCACGCAGGCGGUUAAUUAAGUUGGAUGUGAAAUCCCCGGGCUUAACCUGGGAAUGGCAUUUCAAGACUGGUUAGCUAGAGUCUUGUAGAGGGGGUAGAAUUCCAUGUGUAGCGGUGAAAUGCGUAGAGAUGUGGAGGAAUACCGGUGGCGAAGGCGGCCCCUGGACAAAGACUGACGCUCAUGUGCGAAAGCGUGGGGAGCAAAACAGGGAUUAGAUAACC
This 456-nucleotide ribosomal RNA is filed under the name uncultured bacterium. Its description in RNAcentral is "bacterial SSU rRNA". It matches the Rfam family "Bacterial small subunit ribosomal RNA", at positions 340 to 787 of the family's 1533-position model. The record is from RNAcentral.